CUCUCUCUUUUUCUCUUCUGCUGCCACGUGAAGACAUGUUUGCUUCUCCUUCAUCUUCUGCCAUGAUUGAAGAAUACCAACAUUUGUGCAUACUCAAGUCCUGCAAGUCCUGCGGUGUGCCCUGUGGAACUCAAGGACACGAAAAGUCAGCACUCCAUGUAUGGAGGUUUUGUAUCCCACUAAUGCCGUAUUUUCCAUUUGCUUUGAGUUGUGGAUGUGGAACCUGCUGAUAAAGAUGGCUGACUGCAUUUAUUGAAAAAAAAUCCACAUAUAAGCAGACGUGUGAGUUUCAAACCCAUGUUGUCAAAGUCGUUCCUCUUCAAUUCUACCUGAAGACACUGUUUCCAGAUUAGUCUUGAAUAAAUCAUCAUGCCAUCCUACUCCUUAGGCAAAGUAAUGAAGAACUAAAAGCCAAGAAAUCUUGGCUUGAGUUCGGGUCCUGCCACCUAAAAAUCUGAUCUUGGACAAAAUAUAUCUUUUCUGAGUAUAUUUUUCUGAGUUUCUCAUAAUAUCUAUCUCUCUCUCUCUCUCUCUCUACCCACCCCCCAACCCCAAACCCCCAGCCCCUGCUGACAACAAUCACUUCCAUAAUACAUGGUUCUUAUGACAAUCACAUGUAGUGAAUAAUUUGAGAAAAUAUUAAACACUUUGAAUUACAAAACAGAAAAUAGUAAAAUACUUGGGGGCUAUCAACUCAACAGUCUAAACUUAAAAUCAGUAGUCAGCCUGUCUAAUUGUAAUUGUGACCAUAUAUAGAUUCUGAUAUAUAGUUUUCUUUUUUUAAUAUACAACCCAUGAAAAUAAAAUUAAUUUUGUGAACUUUUACAUAAAAUGUUAUUAGUUAGUUCAAGGUCGCUUUCCUUAGACUGUUUAUCCAUGACACUCACCAUGCUUUAACAGUUUUAUCUGUAGAACACUUUAGCCAUUAUUUCAGUAUUCUUAUUUUUCUUGUUUUUUUCUUCUCCUCCCAAAUAUACACAUGUGCCUAUGCACACACACAUAUACACUCACGUUCAAAGCCACUGUGCAAACCAUAGAACAUUUUAUUGAAUACAUAAUGAAGCAAUCAAAUAAUUUCAAGGGCAAUGGUAAGAACUACUUCCAAAUAUUUUAUUUAAAAGAGAAUUUGUGGCUGUUAUAUAACUUAAUGAUAUUUAAACAAUCCUGAGAAUUUGGAAGGUAAAAAUGAUUGCACUCUCUUAACAUGCUACAAAUCAGAGUAGUAUUCUCCAAUGAAAUAAAGAUGCUUCUAAUGCCAUGUUACCAAUGGGUUUCCUCUCUUUUUACUCUUUCUUGAAGAACUCAAGCCACACUGAUAUAUCUACAAUCAGAAAGCUCUUGAAAUGCACAUGUUAGAUGGUUGGCUAUUGUGUGAAUCAAGGACAUCUACACACUUACUUAUUCUCCACCCCACUAAACAUAGGACAAAUCUGUUAAGUAAAAUAUGAAGCCAAAAUUAGCAUCUCCUGGCCAGGCAUGGUGGCUCACGCCUGUAAUUCCAGCACUUUGGGAGGCCGAGGAAGGUGGAUCACUCGAGGUCAGGAGUUCAAGAUCAGCCUGGCCAACAUGGUGAAACCCUAUCUCUACUAAAAAAUACAACAAUUAGUCAGCUGCAGCGGCACACGCCUGUAGUCCCAGCUACUCGGGAGGCUGAGGCAGGGGAAUCACUUUAACUCAGGAGGCAGAGGUUGCAGUGAGCCAAGACUGCACCACUGCACUCCAGCCUGGGCAACAGGGCAAGAAACUGUCUCAAAAAAAUAAAAAGUAGUAUCCCUAGAGUUUUAUCUCAAAAUGAUUUAGAAUAGUUAAGAUAGUUUCAUGUUAAUUGAUUUAAAACUUUUCGUGCUUUCUCAAAUAAGAUUGUAUUUUAGAAGGUAAACUAAUGUUAUGAAAUAUGCAAUGCAUAAAAAGUCUAAACAAGUGUGUGCAUGAAUUUAUGUAUAUUCAGUUAUAGCUUAUGAUGUUAAUAUAAUAAACACCUGAGCUAUCAAAACACAGGUUAAAAUACAGAACUUUAUAGUUCCUCAGAAGCUGUCUGCAUGUAUGCCAUUGUUCUCCUCCUGAAGACAUAAUCAUGAUCCAAUAUUUUGUAUUAAACAUACCUUUGCUGGAACUUAUAAUUAUACAACUUAAUUAUGCAUCUCGUAAAAAGAUAUUGCUUGUGCCAGUGGCUUUUAAAAUUUGUAUAAGUAGACUCAUACUGUACUGAACUCAUGCUGUAUUAUCCUGUGACUUACCUUUGAAAAAACUGAAAUAUAUAAUAAAUCUGAUAAACAGA
Symphalangus syndactylus (siamang) is the source of this 2278-nucleotide long non-coding RNA. RefSeq lists it as uncharacterized. NCBI's taxonomy places the organism in Eukaryota, Metazoa, Chordata, Mammalia, Primates, Hylobatidae. The record is from RefSeq and is a predicted model, not a curated record.